GGAAGCGUGGGAGAGUGGUUUAAUCCAGCGGUCUUGAAAACCGCCGGGGUGGCGACACCCCCGUGAGUUCGAAUCUCACCGCUUCCGCCA
This 90-nucleotide transfer RNA is filed under the name Ramlibacter agri. Its description in RNAcentral is "Ramlibacter sp. G-1-2-2 tRNA-Ser". It matches the Rfam family "tRNA". Rfam says of the family: Transfer RNA (tRNA) molecules are approximately 80 nucleotides in length. Their secondary structure includes four short double-helical elements and three loops (D, anti-codon, and T loops). The record is from RNAcentral. Lineage: Bacteria; Pseudomonadati; Pseudomonadota; Betaproteobacteria; Burkholderiales; Comamonadaceae.